CGCUGUCGAUCAACGAGGAAACCGGGAUGCUCGUCGAGGGCUUCGAAUGCCCACCGACGAUCAUGUCGCCGCAUCACCGCUCUUAUCAGGCUCGUCUUGCCGAGGGGGCGGGCUUAGAGAAGGUGAAGGACUGUUACGGGUGGAAACACCAAGUGGUGCCGGCGCCGGCGCGCGCCCAGAAGGCCUGGGAGGCGAUCACGAGUCUUCCCGAGGUUCGGUUCCGG
This 224-nucleotide ribosomal RNA is filed under the name uncultured eukaryote. Its description in RNAcentral is "partial small subunit ribosomal RNA". The record is from RNAcentral.